This 303-nucleotide ribosomal RNA is filed under the name uncultured bacterium. Its description in RNAcentral is "partial 16S ribosomal RNA". It matches the Rfam family "Bacterial small subunit ribosomal RNA", at positions 507 to 807 of the family's 1533-position model. The record is from RNAcentral.
AGCAGUCGCCGCGGUAAUACAGAGGGUGCGAGCGUUAAUCGGAUUUACUGGGCGUAAAGCGUGCGUAGGCGGCUUCUUAAGUCGGAUGUGAAAUCCCUGAGCUUAACUUAGGAAUUGCAUUCGAUACUGGGAAGCUAGAGUAUGGGAGAGGAUGGUAGAAUUCCAGGUGUAGCGGUGAAAUGCGUAGAGAUCUGGAGGAAUACCGAUGGCGAAGGCAGCCAUCUGGCCUAAUACUGACGCUGAGGUACGAAAGCAUGGGGAGCAAACAGGAUUAGAGACCCGAGUAGUCCCUGUCUCUUAUAC